GUUGAAAGGGACAGAGAGGAGAAAUAUCAUUGUUUGAAUCUGCAUCCAUCCUUCUUUGCUAUGUUGUUGAAAGCAUUGCUUUUUUACUCUGUUGACUUGUGGAUGUAAACAUCUUAUUAAAGAAGAUAAACGCUUGCCACUUGUCGAGGAGUUAUCUGUCUGCAUAUCUGUACUCAUAACGACAGUGAGGGCAGAACAGUAGCAGUGAUAACACCUCUUCUUAAUCUAUGGAUUAACCUUCAGCAGCGUUUCUAUCGUUUUAAUGCCAUUGAACACAACUGUUAAUCAGAAACAGCAAAAGCUCACCAAGCUUUUAGACCGCUCUGACUCCAACACCAUGUGCAGCCUCAACAUUUCCCCCAAACCAAGGACGCGGCCUCGUGGAAUUCCAAGUAUGCUGGAGAUUGGAACAGUCCUUCGGCGGCACGCGAUGACGUAGCAUGUUGGCUUGGAAGCCAGUAUCCUCGAGAUUGAGAAACGGCCCCUGUGUUUGCCUUCCUGUCGUUAGUUUUCCUGGUGUGUCUGAUUAUGUUUCUGCCUCCCCUGCCCAGCUGUGUCUUGUCC
This is a long non-coding RNA of Gymnodraco acuticeps, 564 nucleotides long. RefSeq lists it as uncharacterized. NCBI's taxonomy places the organism in Eukaryota, Metazoa, Chordata, Actinopteri, Perciformes, Bathydraconidae. The transcript is spliced from 3 exons. The record is from RefSeq and is a predicted model, not a curated record.